GAAAGGGGCUUCGGCCCCGAGUAGAGUGGCGCACGGGUGAGUAACGCGUGGAUGAUCUGCCCUGAUGUUGGGAAUAACAGUUGGAAACGGCUGCUAAUACCGAAUACGCUCCCCUUUCACCAUGGGAGGAAAGACGGCCUUUGCUUGCAAGCUGUCGCAUGAGGAUGAGUCCGCGUCCCAUUAGCUAGUUGGUGAGGUAACGGCCCACCAAGGCGACGAUGGGUAGCCGAUUUGAGAGGAUGAUCGGCCACACUGGAACUGAAACACGGUCCAGACUCCUACGGGAGGCAGCAGUGGGGAAUAUUGCGCAAUGGGCGAAAGCCUGACGCAGCGACGCCGCGUGAGGGAUGAAGGUCUUCGGAUCGUAAACCUCUGUCAGAAGGGAAGAAAGCAGCGGGUGCCAAUCAGCCUGCUGUUGACGGUACCUUCAAAGGAAGCACCGGCUAACUCCGUGCCAGCAGCCGCGGUAAUACGGAGGGUGCAAGCGUUAAUCGGAAUUACUGGGCGUAAAGCGCACGUAGGCUGUUUUGUAAGUCAGGGGUGAAAGCCCACGGCUCAACCGUGGAAUUGCCCUUGAUACUGCGGGACUUGAAUUCGGGAGAGGAUGGCGGAAUUCCAGGUGUAGGAGUGAAAUCCGUAGAUAUCUGGAGGAACAUCAGUGGCGAAGGCGGCCAUCUGGAUCGACAUUGACGCUGAGGUGCGAAAGCGUGGGGAGCAAAC
RNAcentral lists this ribosomal RNA (720 nucleotides) under uncultured bacterium. RNAcentral describes it as "bacterial SSU rRNA". It matches the Rfam family "Bacterial small subunit ribosomal RNA", at positions 70 to 773 of the family's 1533-position model. The record is from RNAcentral.